UACGGAGGGUGCAAGCGUUAUCCGGAUUCACUGGGGUUAAAGGGUGCGUAGGUGGGCAAGUAAGUCAGUGGUGAAAUCUCCGGGCUUAACCCGGAAACUGCCAUUGAUACUAUUUGUCUUGAAUACUGUGGAGGUCAGCGGAAUAUGUCAUGUAGCGGUGAAAUGCUUAGAUAUGACAUAGAACACCAAUUGCGAAGGCAGCUCGCUACACGAAUAUUGACUCUGAGGCACGAAAGCGUGGGGAUCAAACAGG
RNAcentral lists this ribosomal RNA (253 nucleotides) under uncultured bacterium. RNAcentral describes it as "partial 16S ribosomal RNA". It matches the Rfam family "Bacterial small subunit ribosomal RNA", at positions 524 to 776 of the family's 1533-position model. The record is from RNAcentral.